Molecule: ribosomal RNA, 471 nt
Filed under: uncultured bacterium
Lineage: Bacteria
Description: partial 16S ribosomal RNA
Rfam family: Bacterial small subunit ribosomal RNA
Source: RNAcentral
UGGGGAAUAUUGCACAAUGGGCGAAAGCCUGAUGCAGCAACGCCGCGUGAGUGAUGAAGGUCUUCGGAUUGUAAAGCUCUGUCUUUUGGGACGAUAAUGACGGUACCAAAGGAGGAAGCCACGGCUAACUACGUGCCAGCAGCCGCGGUAAUACGUAGGUGGCGAGCGUUGUCCGGAUUUACUGGGCGUAAAGGGUGCGUAGGCGGAUGUUUAAGUGAGAUGUGAAAUACCCGGGCUUAACUUGGGUGCUGCAUUUCAAACUGGAUAUCUAGAGUGCAGGAGAGGAGAAUGGAAUUCCUAGUGUAGCGGUGAAAUGCGUAGAGAUUAGGAAGAACACCAGUGGCGAAGGCGAUUCUCUGGACUGUAACUGACGCUGAGGCACGAAAGCGUGGGUAGCAAACAGGAUUAGAUACCCUGGUAGUCCACGCCGUAAACGAUGAGUACUAGGUGUAGGAGGUAUCGACCCCUUCU